RNAcentral lists this ribosomal RNA (429 nucleotides) under Pseudomonadota bacterium. RNAcentral's name for it is "Proteobacteria bacterium partial 16S ribosomal RNA". It matches the Rfam family "Bacterial small subunit ribosomal RNA", at positions 355 to 776 of the family's 1533-position model. The record is from RNAcentral. Lineage: Bacteria; Pseudomonadati; Pseudomonadota.
UGGGGAAUAUUGGACAAUGGGCGAAAGCCUGAUCCAGCCAUGCCGCGUGUGUGAAGAAGGUCUUCGGAUUGUAAAGCACUUUAAGUUGGGAGGAAGGGCAGUAAGCGAAUACCUUGCUGUUUUGACGUUACCGACAGAAUAAGCACCGGCUAACUCUGUGCCAGCAGCCGCGGUAAUACAGAGGGUGCAAGCGUUAAUCGGAAUUACUGGGCGUAAAGCGCGCGUAGGUGGUUCGUUAAGUUGAAUGUGAAAGCCCCGGGCUCAACCUGGGAAGUGCAUCCAAAACUGGCAAGCUAGAGUAGGGCAGAGGGUGGUGGAAUUUCCUGUGUAGCGGUGAAAUGCGUAGAUAUAGGAAGGAACACCAGUGGCGAAGGCGACCACCUGGGCUCAUACUGACACUGAGGUGCGAAAGCGUGGGGAGCAAACAGG